Aethalodelphis obliquidens (Pacific white-sided dolphin) is the source of this 1572-nucleotide long non-coding RNA. RefSeq lists it as uncharacterized. The transcript has 3 exons. The record is from RefSeq and is a predicted model, not a curated record. NCBI's taxonomy places the organism in Eukaryota, Metazoa, Chordata, Mammalia, Artiodactyla, Delphinidae.
AGCAGGUGUGAUGCUGCUGGACCCGUGGGGCAGGGGGUGGUCUCAGCCCACGCUUCCUUUAAGAGUGUGAGCUGAAGGCAGCUCCGUCAUUUAAAGGUAUAGAUAUGCACUGUCCAUAAAACACGCCCAGUAAGUGGAGGACAGUGCUGCUCAACUAAAGGGACAGCGGCUCUACCGGAGAUAAAACUGGCUGUUCAGUGCUUAAUGAGAGUUUCUCUCCAGAGCCAUGCCUUCUGAAUGGGUUUUCACAGGCUGACUUUAAAAUCCCACCCUGGUUAGGAUCGGAUUCUACUAUACAACAGAUAAAGCAGAGUGGCUCUGAUGAAGUGACAUGGGAGAAACUCCAAGAGCCUCCCCCUCCCUGAUGCAGCUUCCCCUGACUUCUUCACCUCUCUAGAGACCAAGUCCUGGGCCAUCUGUCGAAUGCAGCCAGAAGAAUCCUGGAAGCCACAUGUUGAAGAUGACAGAGACACCUUGGGUCUGAUUCCUGGAAUCUCUGCAUGAUGGAGGAUGGUGGUUAUUGUAUGGCAAAGGUAUUUAUAUUCCAUUGGAUGUAUCUUAAAAGGUGACACGUUAUAAAGCAGAAACUAACACAACAUUGUAAAGCAAUUAUACUCCAAUAAAGAUGUUUAAAAAACAAAGGUGACACAAGAGUUUUAUUUUUUAUGUCAACAUUUACAAUAGGCCAGAAAUUUUAUCCUUCAUAUUCAUAUAUGCCUGUGAUAAAAAAUAAAAAGUUUCAGAGACAAUCUAAAAGUGUACAAGGUAGUCUAUAAUUUUUCAAAAUUCCUUUAAAGGAUAUGUGAGCAAAAAUGUUUGAAGACCUUAGGCCUACCCAAUACACAUUCAUUCUUUCUUCCUUUUGUUCCUUAUACCAGAACUGCUGGCAAUGUGCCCAGCUAAAAAUCGAAGUCUCUUUGCAGAUAAAUACAGACAGGUGACUAAAUGCCGGCUAAUGACAUGCUCACUUUUGCCAUUUCUGCCUUCCACAUGAGGUGUGAAUACAAUGGCAGGAGCUCCAGCAACCACUUUUGGCCAUGCACUAAGAACAGCAGUACUGAAAGACAGAAGGAAAUUGGGUUCUAGAUGACUUUGUCACUCCUCCCUACCAACCACAAACUCCCUACCUCCAGGUUUCUUUUAGGAGAGAAAAAUAAAUCCAUACAUCUCUAAGUCACUAUUAUUUGGGGGUUUCUGUUAUACAAAGCCAAAUAUAAUCCUGCCUGGUAGAGUGGCUAUAGCAUGUUUCAUAUAAUCAAUCAAUCAUCAAACAUUCAGGUGUUUUCAGAUUACGCUAUUUAUUAUAAACCAUACUGUGAUCCUUAUAAGAUGUACCUUUGGAUACAUGCAUAGUCAUUUUUCUAGGAGACAGUCUAAAAAGUAAAUUCUGGGUCAAGAAUGUCUUGAUACAUAGUCAAUUUUUUUUCUUUACAAAGGUUAAUUUACACUCACAUCAAUAGUAUGCGAGGGACUUCACUAGUGGCGCAGUGGUUAGGAACCCGCCUGCCAAUGCAAGGGACGAGGGUUCGAAUCCUGGUCCGGGAAGAUCCCACAUGCCACGGAGCAGCUAAG